CUGAAUGAGUAAAUAAUAUCAAUUUCAUGACUUAAUGACAUUUUUAUAAAAGUAUUCAGAUUUACAGAUUUAAAACGAAGACUAUAUCCGGUGGAAUAGUCACAUGAUAAGUUUAGGAUUUGUUAAGAAUUUUAGUUUUGCUCGCCGAGAACAAGUUAAGGUCUUCAUAACCGUGUUUUUCGAAGAACAAAGUUAUUAUACAUGUAUUGCAAACCACGUGAUGAGCGUUGUGAUACUAUAAAGUUUUAGGGCGCUUUUGUUUGCAAAAAUCCGGUUUGGGUUUUAGGUUUUGGUUUGGAUAAAAAAUAAUGAUAAACUUAAACUGGUUUCGGUUAAAAUGAGUUCUUGAACAAACAGGCGGUUUGUAUGAACAAAAUGACGAAUCUAGAAAAAUAGUGAUUAAAUUUAUUUUAUGGACUAAGCACAUUAAUAAAAUUACAAAAAAGGCAAAUUCGACCUUGGCUCUACUCCGUAGAAAUAUUCGCCACUGUCCAUCAGAAUGCAGAAAAAGUGCCUACUUAGCUUUAAUACGAUCAACUCUCGAAUAUAGUGCUAUCGUUUGGGACCCUUACUUAGAAGUCGAUAUUAAUAAGUUAGAACGUAUCCAGCGUCAGGCAGCGAGAUUUAUUACCGGCGACUACAGGUCUAGAGAAAAAGGAUCGGUCACAAACAUGUUGGAAUCUCUCAAACUAACUCCACUUCAGGAUCGUAGAAGAACCAGUCGACUUGUAUUUCUCUACAAAGUGGCCGGGGGUCUGGUGCCAGCUAUACACCCUUCGGAUUACCUACAAACUGUAACUUGUAAAAGACAAAUCAGAGCAAAAUUAUAUAGUGAUUUCCAAGUGUCAAACAUUGUUGAAAACCAAGUAAUAAACAAUACCAGAGGUUUUAGUGUAAGCAUUGUAAAUCUGAGCAAUUGAAAAACUCAUUUUUUGUGAAAACUAUAAUUGAAUGGAACCACCUGGACGAUAGGGUGGUCCGCGCAGAGACAACAGAGGGCUUCAAGUCUGCCGUUCUUCACGAUUAAGCGCCUCCCUCCAGAGUGCAAAGCUGUAACAGGCCCUACACUGUAAAACAUACAGAUACAAAUUUAUUCUAAAUGGAGAUAAAUGACAGAUUUUGUAUCUAAGAGCCAAACAUUUUAAAUAACAUGUACUACUAUUACUACUCCUCACGUGCCGCCACAAUUUAACAUAGCAAGGCUAAUUAUGGCAUAGACAGUUGAGUCACUUCCUUUUGCACUCGAGAACAUUAGACCAAUUGAGUGAAUACAAAUGAUAGUUUUUGUUAAGUUUAAUGUCAGACUGACGGAAUUAUAGGUCAUAUAUCAACUUUCAAUGCAUUAUUUAAGGCAUGGGCGGGCAGCUAGGUAAAGCCACUGUCCGUUAAGUCAGCUGGAUUACUUAAAAAUCCACACAUGAAAGAAUUCUACACCCUGAGCAAGGUUCCGAGCACACUGCAGUGAAGGACAAAUAAUUUAAUAUCAACUACCCUAACCAUCCGGCCACAAAGACUAAGACUGAGAUGUAAUCAUAUAACUGUAUCCACUAUCCAGCAGACUUUUUUAUUUCAAUUUGAUGAAAAUUAGAGAUUAAGUGUUUUGUAACAGGGAUAACUCCUAAAUUGAAAUCAUUGCUGUUUCCUUGUUUUAGACACACUCAGCAAAGUUUGACAGUUGUGAUGUAGUUAAUGUGCAAAAAUAGAUGACGUUAUACUACUCAAGGUUCAAGCAAAGCACAUAUACUCUGACUCUGGUGCUGGACUGAUUUAACCACAGGAAAACACUACAGCAAUUUCAAGGCAGAGACUGACGCACUCAUGAAGGCCGUCUCAAUGAUUGAAAACUCGGCAGAAGAAAGUUCCUCAGUCGUCUUUCUUACAGAUGCACUGUCUGUCAUGGAAGCUCUUAUCAACAAUAAAGCUCCGCAGCUAGCCAGGAGAAUGCAGCACCUGAGUAUAACCUGCAAAGUAGCACUUCAGUGGAUUCCAUCCCAUUGUGGACUUGCAGGCAAUGAAGAGGCAGACAAACUGGCUAAGUUAGGAGCUCAGUCAGAACAACCAACAGAACAUGUGAGUCACAAGGGGAAAGUCACCAUCACUAAUGAGUAGAGGUCCACUAGACAAUACUACACACCAAAUAUCUUAACUCUAGCCAUUGUAGUUUCAGACAAUUUUUUUUAAAGAUUUUCCUAUACAAGUCUAUGUAAAAAACAAGUAGUCCCUGGGGCGGGGCCAAUUUUGACCCUGGGGCCAUAAUUUGAACAAAUUCUCUAGAAAUUCGGUGAGGUGAGUUAAACAAGUUUGGUGAACAUGCAAAAAUAAAUAAAAGCGCUAUCGUGAACACAAGGCUAAAAUCUGCAAGUUUAGUCAUUUCAGGGGGGCAUAACUCCAAGACCCAUCGUGCAAUAUGGCUGAUUUUCGAAAGUAACCGAGAUCUAAUAGAGAUACAAGUUAUGUGCAAGUUUGGUUCAAAUCAAAUGAGAAAUGAAAGCGCUAUCAUGAACACAAGCUCAAUUGUGCAGAGUUUAGCCAUUUCAGGGGGCAUAACUCCUAGACCUAUCUUGCAAUAUGGCUGGUUUUCGAAAGUAACCGAGAUCUAAUAGAGAUACAAGUUAUUUGCAACUACCCUAUUUGGUUCAAAUCAAAUAAGAAAUGAACGCGCUAUCGUGAACACAAGCUCAAUUGUGGACGGACGGACGACGGACAAAAGACCAUACUAAAAGUUUCACCUUACUUUCAGUCAGGUGAGCUAAAAAUGAAAAUUUAAUUGGAAAUUAAAAUUUUAUUGAUAUGAAUAGUUGUAUGCAUGAAAAUAAAAAAAUACUCAUUUUGCUCUUAAAAUUUAGUCAGACUAGGGAACUGCUUUGCAUAAUUAUGUAUUUAUAUACUAAUGAUGUUUAUGUGCAUAUAAAGUUAUGUCAAUGUGCAUAGGGCUUCUUGCUAGGACUUGAACCUAGAAUUCUUACAAAAGUAAGUGUGUUUCUUUACACUACAAGAAGUGAUCCCUUGCUUAGCAACAGAGACAUUUAUUUAAAUACAAAAUAUUGCAUUUGUAUGUUAUCCUUCAGAAACAGACACAUUUACUAUAAAUUAAAACUUUAUACUAUAACAGUAAUUGGAUUUUGGACUGUUGGAGGUCGAAUAAUCUUGGAACGAAAUGAAUGGAAUAUUUCGACCAUGGUAAGAGAAACUGAUUAUAACGAUGUAUACAUGCCAAUCAAAGAGAAUGUUUUCAGAAGUAAUUAUUGACAAAUGAAUUCGGCUGAGCAUAAAGAUUACCACGGGUUUUCUCCAGAAAUGAACAAAUUCUUAUUUUUUUUCCUUACUCGUUUCCAUUUUGGUCCACACGGUCCGCCAUUUUUUCUCGAACUGCAAUAAAUUUCGGAUACAACAAACCGAACAAACCGCCUCCGGAGGCAGUUUGGUCGGUUUGACAAACCGGUUAGCGUUUUAUUAAAACAAAUGACACAAACCUUUUCCAGAUCAAAACCAGUUUUACAAAACAAAUAGAAAGUUUGGCAAACCGGUUUGAAACCGAACUGAGUUUGUUACAAACAAAAGCGCCCUUAGUCUAUUUGCGGUAGGACAAAUACAUAGACUGGUCCCUUGCGAACUUUGAAAACUUUGAAGGGAACACCGCUAUAGAGCAGGGAACCAGAUUAUAUACAAACUUCGGCUGGCCCAUUUUUUUCGGGUGGUACUUUUAUCCUACCGUGAUUCCAAUUUAGCUUUGUUACGCGAACAAGAUCUGACACAAACAGAAAAAUUAAGAUUAAGAUAUUUCUACUUUUCGCCAUAAAAGUUUAGUCGACAUGUCGACGUUUUCUUGAUUUUUGUCGCAUCAUAAACUUCAACUUUGCAACUGUUUGAGAAAAUAUCUUAGCGCUUGAGGUUGAAAUAAGCUGUGAUAAUUUCUACGUUUCAUGCUAAGUUUUAGUUCGAGAAGUCGAAAUUUGCGCGACAAGUUUCGCUUAAAACUUCAAGUUUUCGACUUUUUUGCGAUAAAAUUUACGGCACGACAAGUUGAAAUUUCAUGCUUAAAUUCAAGUUAUCGCGGGUCUAUAUGAUCGGAAUCCGUAUAAAUCGCUGAUAACACAUGCAUAAUAAUAUUAUACUAAUCCACAUACUUUACUGUAUUCAUUUGCUUAUUACAUUAUAUGCAAUUUCAUAUAUAGCUCGAACUCAUCGGCUGUCCUAGCAACAUUCCUAUAAAAUGCAUAUUUUCGAUGGCGCGAACUACCGAUAUCUCCAACCCAUUUUGCUUGUACCAUGAGUUCAAACGAACGAUUCGACUGUUAAUUUGUUUAAUAUCUUCAUACCUUCGACCAUAAAUCUUAAAAGGCAUGUGCCAUAUGAUUUUGUUGGUAUUUCGGAAGAUAAAGUACGACUCUACAUAUUACUAAGCAAAUGCAAUGUCCGCAACAGCAAUACUCGUACAUUUCCUUAUUAAAAUCGUCAUGUAUCUUAACUGAAAUUACGUAUCAUUCUUACAGUUUAUAUUCAAAUAUAGUUUUCUAACAAAUCAUGAAAUGUACAUAUAGCCAUUCUCAUGCAUCAUAGGUUCGUCAAAAUACCGAGACGAAUCCCUGAACCACGGUAGACAUAUGGUAUGCGAGAAUGCAUUUAACAGAAAGUGAGUGAAAAGGGUUUUAACAAGGUUUAAUAAUAUUGUUUGUGUUGCUGAACAUAGUUUUGUGUGUAAAACUGUGAUGUAAAUGUAGGGAUAACGCAUGCUUUUUCGUGUUAUACAUCUGCAGAAUCCCGAGAGAAUGGUUGGUGCCAGAGCACGGUAAGGUGAUGUUACCAGUGUAUCCCGAGGUAUUCUACAGAUGUUGUAACAUGACAUGAAAUGACAUGCGUUAACGCUAUUCUAUCACAAAUGGUGUAAAAUACUAAAACAAAUUAAACAAAUUGAAUAUAUUGUUCAAAGUCUUUGCCGACAUUAGACAAUUCUUAACAAUAGCUUUGGAGCAUCAGUCUUGCAAUAUGUUUCAAGCGCUGGUUAAGAUAAUUCCACCCCCUCCCCUCCCUCUCGUUCGCUAGAUCUGGAUGCUAACAGGUCCCAGUGCAAUUAAAGUAUCCGAUCCACAAAUAGGUAAAAUUUCGAUGCCUGGUGACCCCAUGUUUUUUGGUAUCAUAUGAAAUAGUUGUGUCUAACUGAACAAGAAAUAGUAAACAAGAUGAAACAAUAUGUACGGAUCACUACAGUCAUGUUUUGACUUCGAAAUGAUAAAUCUUACACUGUAAUAAGUUAAUUUCUGUUAAAGUAGCAUUCAAAACUAUAAAGUAAAAAGAUACAAAUUCUGUAACAUAUUUUGUCACCUAAUUUAUAUUUUCUUUUUUAGUAGAAAAUACACUUUCAAAUGAUACCAAAAUCAUAUGAGCUUACCAGGCAUCAAUAUUUGAUGUAACAAAACCGACAAACAAAAAGGUGGAAGUAUAUCAUAAAAGGGGUUUGAUCUGGGAUACUGCAUUUGGCGCGAGACGGGCAAGCGCCGUGUGUGAUCUAUAAAAUUCCAGAUCUCGCUGUACAUAUUAUUUUUGCUUAAAGAAAAACGUACAUAUCUAUGUAUUGAUUAUAUCUGAAUGUGUGUUUACGUCUGAAUUUGAAUUUGCUCUGUAAAUAUUUACAUAAUGCUUUACUACUAUGCAGAGGCCAUAAUCGUGUUUUAGUGCAGUAGCUUUCGUUAGUUUAAGGGGAAGGCAGCGUUAUUCUAAUGUUUAUGCUGUCGGCUAGACCUUCUUAAAUCACUUAAAAGCUCAUAAUACCUUUUUAUGGAACCUUAAGGCAGUAAAGGAGUGUUCAAAAUCCGCAUAAAUUAGAAAAAUGCAUGUAUACACAAAUAUUUGAUAUAACCGGAACUUAUUUAUGUACAUGACAACUUAAAACAAAGACGCGAAUUUACUAGUUGGUCUUUAUUUUACCAGGAACCAAGGAAACUCUUACUUUUUAUUGCUUAAACUAAUGAAAAGAUUUCCAACCGUCAUAUCUUUUCUAAAAAAAGUAGUGAUCCAAUUUUCAGUGCUAUGAUCGACUGGACAAUAGCUUUCAUACGAAGAUAACGGUUGAAACUCAAUAUUUCCAACUCGCUUAUCUCAAAAUUAAGGCUAUCUCGAAUACAUUUUUAAAAUCCCAUCCCUAAAACACUUACAUAUUAAAUGAGCCGCGCCAUGAGAAAACCAACAUAGUGGCUUUGCGACCAGCAUAGAUCCAGACCAGCCUGCGCAUCCGUGCAGUGUGGUCAGGAUCCAUGCUGUUCGCUUUCAAAGCCUAUUGCAAUUAGAGAAAACUUAAGCGAACAGCAUGGAUCCUCACCACAAUGCGCGGAUGCGCAGGCUGGUCUGGAUCCAGGCUGGUCGCAAAGCCAUUAUGUUGGUUUUCUCAUGGCGCGGCUGAUAUUAUAUAUUAUUUUAAGUCCCCAAGUAAAGCGUUCGAUCCCUUGGAAUUUGAGAUACCAAGCUUCACCUGUAAUAAAAAUCGGCAAGAUAGAUAAGCCUUCCCCAUUAACUAUGUAUUCAUUGAAUAUACUUACGCUGUUUCAUGAGUGUGUAAGAAUAUGUCUUUCAAAUUUGAAAGAAAAUCAAAACAUGGAAAGUGUUUAAGAAAAGGUCGUUCAAAAUUCAGAAACAAAUCCAAAACAUGGAAAGUAAGAAAUUAUAAUUUUCAGUCAUAUAAAAUGGUGAUAAGUAGACACAUUACAUGUACCACUACAGUCGUUUAUUUCAGCAUUCCUUAUUGGAGAAAAAUUAUUAUGUACGUCUGUCGGCAUUUGUAGUUGUAUUUUACAUGUUUUAUGUUAACUAUUAUCAUGUUGAAAUUUCAUGUUUUUAGCAUGUGUGCAAAAUUAAAGGUUAUCCAAGUGAUUUUCUGUACUGAUAAGAUACUGCAUCAAUAAAAUCGUCAUCAUCGGCUUUUGCUUGAAAUAAAAUAUUGAAAAAUGUA
Long non-coding RNA from Mercenaria mercenaria, 6943 nucleotides. RefSeq lists it as uncharacterized. The transcript has 2 exons. NCBI's taxonomy places the organism in Eukaryota, Metazoa, Mollusca, Bivalvia, Venerida, Veneridae. The record is from RefSeq and is a predicted model, not a curated record.